Molecule: ribosomal RNA, 499 nt
Filed under: uncultured Clostridia bacterium
Lineage: Bacteria; Bacillati; Bacillota; Clostridia
Description: partial 16S ribosomal RNA
Source: RNAcentral
CACGUAGUUAGCCGGGGCUUCUUAGUCAGGUACCGUCUGUUUCUUCCCUGCCGAUAGGGCUUUACGCACCGAGGUGCUCCUUCACCCACGCGGCGUCGCUGCAUCAGGGUUCCCCCCAUUGUGCAAUAUUCCCCACUGCUGCCUCCCGCAGGAGUCUGGGCCGUGUCUCAGUCCUAGUGUGGCCGUCCGCCCUCUCAGGCCGGCUACCGAUCGUCGCCUUGGUGGGCCGCUGCCCCCGCCAACUAGCUAAUCGGACGCGGGCCCAUCGCGCACCGUCCGGGUCGCCCCGGGCUUUCCCCGCAGGGCCAUGCGGCCCCCCGGGAAUAUGCGGUAUAGCGGCCGUUUCCGGCCGUUGUCCCCCUGUGCGCGGCAGGUUGCCCACGCGUUACUCACCCGUCCGCCACUCGGCCGCGCCUUCACUAGGUUUCAGGCGCGGCCCGUUCGACUUGCAUGUGUUAGGCACGCCGCCAGCGUUCAUCCUGAGCCAGGAUCAAACUCU